GCUCCGGUAGUGCAGGUGGUAACAUUGCCUGGUAAGCAAAAGAUGCAGGUUCGAACCUUGCCUGGGGCC
Non-coding RNA from Teladorsagia circumcincta, 69 nucleotides. The record is from the annotation of a GenBank genome assembly. NCBI's taxonomy places the organism in Eukaryota, Metazoa, Nematoda, Chromadorea, Rhabditida, Trichostrongylidae.